GCCAAUGUAGCUCAGUUGGUAGAGCAGCUCACUUGUAAUGAGCAGGUCGUCGGUUCGAUCCCGACCAUUGGCUCCA
Molecule: transfer RNA, 76 nt
Filed under: Candidatus Vogelbacteria bacterium CG10_big_fil_rev_8_21_14_0_10_51_16
Lineage: Bacteria; Candidatus Vogeliibacteriota
Description: tRNA-Thr
Rfam family: tRNA
About the family: Transfer RNA (tRNA) molecules are approximately 80 nucleotides in length.
Source: RNAcentral